RNAcentral lists this ribosomal RNA (253 nucleotides) under uncultured bacterium. RNAcentral's name for it is "partial 16S ribosomal RNA". It matches the Rfam family "Bacterial small subunit ribosomal RNA", at positions 524 to 776 of the family's 1533-position model. The record is from RNAcentral.
UACGUAGGGGGCAAGCGUUGUCCGGAAUCAUUGGGCGUAAAGAGCGCGCAGGCGGUCGUUCAAGUCGCGUGUGAAAGCCCCCGGCUCAACUGGGGAGGGUCACGCGAUACUGAUCGACUCGAAGGCAGGAGAGGGAAGUGGAAUUCCCGGUGUAGUGGUGAAAUGCGUAGAUAUCGGGAGGAACACCAGCGGCGAAGGCGACUUCCUGGCCUGUUCUUGACGCUGAGGCGCGAAAGCUAGGGGAGCAAACGGG